UCGCUGAGUGCAGCAAGGCAAUUGUGUGCUUGAAAAACCUGAACUACACUGACAUCAUAGGAUUAGGACUUUUUUUGUUCCAGUACUAAUCUUGAUCUGUAGGUAUGAGGAUGUCUUCAUGAGGAACUCCUGAAGAGGUCUAUCAUUGAGUGCUUUUAAGACAACUGGACUUGAGGAAUCCCUUUUUUAAUUAGUUUAUUUCCUUCUUCACCACCAAGACAUGGUUUUCUGGAUUAUCUUCCCCAUAUCCCUCUCCCUGGUGUCCUUCAUUGGAACAUGGAUUGUAUAUGGCCUAGCGUUAGCUAACACACAUGUGUGCUCUCUCAGUGACUGGGGGAGUGACAACUAUUGCAAAGCAAAUCAUACCACUGGAUGUUGCUUGGUUCCCACUAUAAGCUCAAGUGGAACUAAAUCACCAGAAAACUCACUCUUCACAGCCACGAUCAACGCAGGAUCCUUUCUGUUCCUGCUCUUCUGUAUAUUCCACCAUGCUCAUAUUAUGGAGAGACACAGAUGUCAUUCCAUGCUGAGCAAGUUUGCGCUGGUCUUUGGUGUGGUGGCAGCCUUGGGGGCAUUCACAGCUGGAAACUGUAAUCCGGGUGACCUGGCACUGCCUCACUACUUCGGAGCUGCCAUCAGUUUCAUGUGUAUCUGCUUCUACACUGUGUUGCUCACCUCACUGACCGGCAAGUGUGUGCUGACAGGAUAUGAGAGGUCUCUCUAUCCACUCCGCAUCGUCUCCACUGUGGUUCAAACCAUCGUUACCAUCUGCUAUACUGUUUUGUUUGCCCAGGACCAGUACUUUUACGUUCACUUGUCGGCUAUAUUUGAGUGGAUGCUCAGCGUCAACCUGGAGCUGUUUGAGCUCAGCUUUGCUGUGGAGUUUUGUUUCUUCUCAUCCUUCAUGAUCUCAAAUCUGCUGACCAAACGAGAGGAGGAAAAGCCUUUGAUUAUAUCGAUGUCUUGAUAUGAGGCCCCCACGGUCCAGGUGCAGCACAUAAGCAGGGAGGAUGGACUGGGUAACACAUCUGUGAGGACAUCUGUGGCUGGACCUUGGCUUGGAGAACAGUGAUGUACUUCUUCACUGCUCGGGUGGAUUAAUAGUUAUUUAUGAAUGAGGAGAACUUUUGUUUUUGACCUUUGGAUAUACGGUAGCCUAAACCUUUUUUAAACCAGGCAUAUCUGAUUCUUAUUCCUUAUUUAUUGAAACAAAGUUGAAUAGCAAAUGAACAAAACAUGAUAAAUUCCUUUCAUCAUGUCAUGUUGAUGCUCUGCCAACAGAACAAUUAACUUUGAUGUGUUACACUCUAAGAAUCCUUCUAUGUUUAUUAGUUGUAUUGCGCAAUGACUUGUUAUACUAUUUUAAUAUAAUCAACAAUGAACAAUUCCUCAUUAGUGACACUGAUAAGGACCAGAUAUACUGAAAAUGUCACUGAUGUUAGCUUCCAAUUAUAUUCCUUAAGCACUUGUAUAUAGCUUUGACACUUUAUUAAAUCAUGACCACUGUAUACACUCAUAAAUCCUGUUAUUCUGCUGAUUGUACCUUGAAGUGUGGUACUAGGGUGGAGUGAGAUGAAAAACAACCCGUUCAGGUAUUUUAAGUCCCUGUGGCGUCACUACAUCCUGUUUGACUGCAUGACUAAGGGACAGCCGAAUAAUAGAUCUGUCAGUGUGUUCUGAAAACAAUGACGUCAAAAUCCUCACCAGGUUACUGUUCCAGAAGAAUGUACUAGUUUUAGGCGUGGUGGGCUGAAUCUUUUUUACGUGUAAACUAGAGUAAGGAAUCCUCAAUGCAAUGUACCUUUAAAGAUAAAUGUAUAGGUUACUGACAUGUAUUUUCUCCCGUUUCUGUAGUGAUGGGGUCCUACUUUAAUGCAAUAUUUGUGCCAAAGUUAUAACAAGCUGCUAGGCAUACAGUAACUCACAAGUGUACGUCUUAUUUAAUGUCCACUAAACAAGACAACAUGCUUUCGGGUUUUAAUGCAAAGCACUUGACCUUUACUUGAAAGAAGGUAAUAUACAUCCUGGAAUUACAGAUAAUAAAGAUACAUUAUGAGCAAAAUCAUUUCACAAUGAAUAUCAUCUUUUCUUUGCAUCAACCAAGAGAGGCGUGCGACAUUAUCUACAGUUUUUGUUGGGAAGAAAACAGUGAAAAGCACACCUAAUUCUGUCAGCAUCUUUAUGGUACACUGUAAAAAAUGUCAUCUAUAUGCAGUAGUACACAUUAUUGACCGUAGUAACAAAAAA
This is an RNA transcript of Trematomus bernacchii (emerald rockcod), 2247 nucleotides long. RefSeq lists it as uncharacterized. NCBI's taxonomy places the organism in Eukaryota, Metazoa, Chordata, Actinopteri, Perciformes, Nototheniidae. The transcript has 8 exons. The record is from RefSeq and is a predicted model, not a curated record.